GGGUUGUGAGGUUAAGCGACUAAGCGUACACGGUGGAUGCCCUGGCAGUCAGAGGCGAUGAAGGACGUGCUAAUCUGCGAUAAGCGUCGGUAAGGUGAUAUGAACCGUUAUAACCGGCGAUUUCCGAAUGGGGAAACCCAGUGUGAUUCGUCACACUAUCAUUAACUGAAUCCAUAGGUUAAUGAGGCGAACCGGGGGAACUGAAACAUCUAAGUACCCCGAGGAAAAGAAAUCAACCGAGAUUCCCCCAGUAGCGGCGAGCGAACGGGGAGCAGCCCAGAGCCUGAAUCAGUGUGUGUGUUAGUGGAAGCGUCUGGAAAGGCGCGCGAUACAGGGUGACAGCCCCGUACACAAAAAUGCACAUGCUGUGAGCUCGAUGAGUAGGGCGGGACACGUGGUAUCCUGUCUGAAUAUGGGGGGACCAUCCUCCAAGGCUAAAUACUCCUGACUGACCGAUAGUGAACCAGUACCGUGAGGGAAAGGCGAAAAGAACCCCGGCGAGGGGAGUGAAAAAGAACCUGAAACCGUGUACGUACAAGCAGUGGGAGCACGCUUAGGCGUGUGACUGCGUACCUUUUGUAUAAUGGGUCAGCGACUUAUAUUCUGUAGCAAGGUUAACCGAAUAGGGGAGCCGAAGGGAAACCGAGUCUUAACUGGGCGUUAAGUUGCAGGGUAUAGACCCGAAACCCGGUGAUCUAGCCAUGGGCAGGUUGAAGGUUGGGUAACACUAACUGGAGGACCGAACCGACUAAUGUUGAAAAAUUAGCGGAUGACUUGUGGCUGGGGGUGAAAGGCCAAUCAAACCGGGAGAUAGCUGGUUCUCCCCGAAAGCUAUUUAGGUAGCGCCUCGUGAAUUCAUCUCCGGGGGUAGAGCACUGUUUCGGCAAGGGGGUCAUCCCGACUUACCAACCCGAUGCAAACUGCGAAUACCGGAGAAUGUUAUCACGGGAGACACACGGCGGGUGCUAACGUCCGUCGUGAAGAGGGAAACAACCCAGACCGCCAGCUAAGGUCCCAAAGUCAUGGUUAAGUGGGAAACGAUGUGGGAAGGCCCAGACAGCCAGGAUGUUGGCUUAGAAGCAGCCAUCAUUUAAAGAAAGCGUAAUAGCUCACUGGUCGAGUCGGCCUGCGCGGAAGAUGUAACGGGGCUAAACCAUGCACCGAAGCUGCGGCAGCGACGCUUAUGCGUUGUUGGGUAGGGGAGCGUUCUGUAAGCCUGUGAAGGUGUGCUGUGAGGCAUGCUGGAGGUAUCAGAAGUGCGAAUGCUGACAUAAGUAACGAUAAAGCGGGUGAAAAGCCCGCUCGCCGGAAGACCAAGGGUUCCUGUCCAACGUUAAUCGGGGCAGGGUGAGUCGACCCCUAAGGCGAGGCCGAAAGGCGUAGUCGAUGGGAAACAGGUUAAUAUUCCUGUACUUGGUGUUACUGCGAAGGGGGGACGGAGAAGGCUAUGUUGGCCGGGCGACGGUUGUCCCGGUUUAAGCGUGUAGGCUGGUUUUCCAGGCAAAUCCGGAAAAUCAAGGCUGAGGCGUGAUGACGAGGCACUACGGUGCUGAAGCAACAAAUGCCCUGCUUCCAGGAAAAGCCUCUAAGCAUCAGGUAACAUCAAAUCGUACCCCAAACCGACACAGGUGGUCAGGUAGAGAAUACCAAGGCGCUUGAGAGAACUCGGGUGAAGGAACUAGGCAAAAUGGUGCCGUAACUUCGGGAGAAGGCACGCUGAUAUGUAGGUGAAGUCCCUCGCGGAUGGAGCUGAAAUCAGUCGAAGAUACCAGCUGGCUGCAACUGUUUAUUAAAAACACAGCACUGUGCAAACACGAAAGUGGACGUAUACGGUGUGACGCCUGCCCGGUGCCGGAAGGUUAAUUGAUGGGGUCAGCGCAAGCGAAGCUCUUGAUCGAAGCCCCGGUAAACGGCGGCCGUAACUAUAACGGUCCUAAGGUAGCGAAAUUCCUUGUCGGGUAAGUUCCGACCUGCACGAAUGGCGUAAUGAUGGCCAGGCUGUCUCCACCCGAGACUCAGUGAAAUUGAACUCGCUGUGAAGAUGCAGUGUACCCGCGGCAAGACGGAAAGACCCCGUGAACCUUUACUAUAGCUUGACACUGAACAUUGAGCCUUGAUGUGUAGGAUAGGUGGGAGGCUUUGAAGUGUGGACGCCAGUCUGCAUGGAGCCGACCUUGAAAUACCACCCUUUAAUGUUUGAUGUUCUAACGUUGACCCGUAAUCCGGGUUGCGGACAGUGUCUGGUGGGUAGUUUGACUGGGGCGGUCUCCUCCUAAAGAGUAACGGAGGAGCACGAAGGUUGGCUAAUCCUGGUCGGACAUCAGGAGGUUAGUGCAAUGGCAUAAGCCAGCUUGACUGCGAGCGUGACGGCGCGAGCAGGUGCGAAAGCAGGUCAUAGUGAUCCGGUGGUUCUGAAUGGAAGGGCCAUCGCUCAACGGAUAAAAGGUACUCCGGGGAUAACAGGCUGAUACCGCCCAAGAGUUCAUAUCGACGGCGGUGUUUGGCACCUCGAUGUCGGCUCAUCACAUCCUGGGGCUGAAGUAGGUCCCAAGGGUAUGGCUGUUCGCCAUUUAAAGUGGUACGCGAGCUGGGUUUAGAACGUCGUGAGACAGUUCGGUCCCUAUCUGCCGUGGGCGCUGGAGAAUUGAGGGGGGCUGCUCCUAGUACGAGAGGACCGGAGUGGACGCAUCACUGGUGUUCGGGUUGUCAUGCCAAUGGCACUGCCCGGUAGCUAAAUGCGGAAGAGAUAAGUGCUGAAAGCAUCUAAGCACGAAACUUGCCCCGAGAUGAGUUCUCCCUGACUCCUUGAGAGUCCUGAAGGAACGUUGAAGACGACGACGUUGAUAGGCCGGGUGUGUAAGCGCAGCGAUGCGUUGAGCUAACCGGUACUAAUGAACCGUGAGGCUUAACCUUACAACGCCGAAG
RNAcentral lists this ribosomal RNA (2925 nucleotides) under Escherichia coli. RNAcentral's name for it is "23S ribosomal RNA". It matches the Rfam family "Bacterial large subunit ribosomal RNA". Lineage: Bacteria; Pseudomonadati; Pseudomonadota; Gammaproteobacteria; Enterobacterales; Enterobacteriaceae. The record is from RNAcentral.